Molecule: long non-coding RNA, 790 nt
Filed under: Malus domestica (apple)
Lineage: Eukaryota; Viridiplantae; Streptophyta; Magnoliopsida; Rosales; Rosaceae
Description: long non-coding RNA (MDOM_LNC016865)
Source: RNAcentral
ACUAAUUAAAUUGAAUGCAACAUUUUCAUUUGGUUUUUGUAUCCAUAGAAUUGAUUUAAAUGGAGCUAAAUGAAAUGAAAAUCCAAUUCUCAUUUAAAGAGACGAAACCAUUUUGUUCUCAACCUAAUUUGGGCCAAAAUGCAAUAACCUCAACUUUUGGGCUAUGUUGCAAAACUUAAACUUUUGAGCUCAUUUUGUAAAAACACAAAAGUCCACUACUUCAUGUAAUUACAACUAGAACCCAAAAAUUUCAACAAAUUCAAAAACUUCAUUAAAGGAACAAAACAAUUUGUCAUUUAAUGAUUUUGGGCCUUUACGUAAAUACGUAAACUUUUGGGUCAAACUACAAAUUACACAAAAGUACCAAAACUUUAUGUAAUUGCAUAAAAGCCCCAAAAACACCCCACUUCUAGGGUGGCCGGUUUUGGAGAGAAGGGAGUGAUGUGUGUGUUGAUUUGUAGUUUUAGACAUAAAGUCAUGCAAGUGGUGCAUGACAUAAAUGUCAAGCAAGUGGUGUGUGUGAAAGGGAAUUAAUCCUUACACACCCACCAAUAUUUCUUACACCUUUCUAAAUAAAUAUCUAACACAUUUAAACAUAUGAAAACAUAAAACAUAAACUUUAUAAAAUAAAUCAAAACUUUGAAUCAAAACACCAAACUUUUUGUUCUUGGCAAAAAUGUCAACAACAAUGAAGAACACUCAUGAAAAACUCAAAAUAUUUCCAUGAACAUUUUUCACCCAAAAACAUCCCAAAACCAUUCAAACUUAAGGGAAAUAACAUAUAACCAAA